AACAACGGAUCUCUUGGCUCUCGCAUCGAUGAAGAACGCAGCGAAAUGCGAUAAGUAAUGUGAAUUGCAGAAUUCAGUGAAUCAUCGAAUCUUUGAACGCACCUUGCACCCUUUGGUAUUCCGAAGGGUACGCCCGUUUGAGUGUCAUUGUACUCUCAAUCCCAUGACUUUAUGUUGUGUGAUUGGACUUGGAUCCUGUCACAGUUGUGACUGAUCCGAAAUGCAUCAGCGUGUGUCCGUCGUGACGACAAACCGAUUGUUAAACUUCAUCGGGCUCGCUCUGUCGAGGUUGUCUGGCGAAAGCACAUGCUAAACCCCCUACAUUUUGACAAUUUGACCUCAAAUCGGGUGGGAUCACCCGCUGAACUUAAGCAUAUCAAUAAGCGGAGGAAAAGAAACU
RNAcentral lists this ribosomal RNA (400 nucleotides) under uncultured fungus. RNAcentral describes it as "eukaryotic LSU rRNA". The stretch from base 1 to 147 matches the Rfam family "5.8S ribosomal RNA". Lineage: Eukaryota; Fungi. The record is from RNAcentral.